Molecule: non-coding RNA, 1789 nt
Organism: Bactrocera oleae (olive fruit fly)
Lineage: Eukaryota; Metazoa; Arthropoda; Insecta; Diptera; Tephritidae
Source: RefSeq, a predicted model, not a curated record
CUUAGGUAUCUAAGUGCGGCAAUUGGAAAAUGAAAACAUUAAUUUGACGCAUUUGGAGCUAUCUCCUGCGGGCACGGCUAACAGUUCUAAGCGUUUCUACUAAGUAUAACUGGAAUUCGGCGCAAUUAUUAUUAUUAUACCUGCAUUGUGCUAAUUACGAAUUCAGACACUUUAUGAACUCCUCGGUGCUUAUUAAAACGAUAAUUGCUUAGAUAAACAAUCAAACCAAAUGAAACGGAGCAAGCCGUACCACACCGAGAUAAUAAAAAAAGUACAUAUAUAAGUUGAAAGUCAGUUAUAUACAUACAUACAUAUCUACAUGUGAAGCGAUAUAAUCUAGUAUGUAAAUCAUGUUUGUCAUAUAUUUUAUAUGGCAAUUAACGGCAGUUGUUGGCACCAAACCAACCGUUUGUUGACACCAUCAACAGAUACUGUCAAACGAUCAUGUGAUGAACAAUUGCUCGAAAGUGGUAUGCUGUUGAUAAUUGUAAACAACCCCAACAUUAAAGUUUAAGUGCAACUCUAGAAAUUACGUACUUCUUAGAUCUUCGACUGCUCUUGACAGCUCCAUCACUUGAGAGUUAUCAUUAGCGCAGCUUUCAAGGGGACAUCAACAUUUGUGCUCUUCGCAUCGCUGAAAACUUCGCAUCGAUCCAAAGGGAGCAAACUACUAGAAUUUACAAGAAAUGUUAGUAUUGGUAAUUGAAUAAAAAGGUAUUUCGUGUUUUAAUGAAACACCAAUUUUUGACGAUAAAAAUUCUGGUGAUACCAAAAUCAAGCCAUGAGUUUUAUUUCAUCUCUGCGCCAGGCGAAGCGACCAUUCGUACCAUAAGUGGCUUGCUAAAUUCCAUAAAGACCGUAUGAGCAUUGAAGUGGAUGAAGGCAGUGGGCGUCCUAAAGUGGACGAAAAUAUAAAAAUUUCCAAAAUUAUCUUGGAUGACCAUAAAAUAAGAUUUAUCGGAAUAGCCGAAACUUUAAAGAUAUCAAAGGAAUAGCUUGGACUAAUCGUGCAUGAUAAUUUGCAUAUUCGAAAUCUCUGUGCAAAGUAAGGGCAGCGUGAACUCAUAAAUUACCUCAGUGUCACAUAUCAAUGAAAAAGGGGUCCACCAUAUUUUGAAGCGAAUAAAAAAUGUAUUGUAUGGUAUCUAACAGUUGGAUGCUCGGUAUAGUUGAAUUGGGUAUAUUAAGUAUGCCACGACCUAUUGUGACUUAUAAAAUACGACGAGGUGAGUCGUCUGUAGGUAUAUACGCGAACUAGUCUCUCAGUUUUUGAGAUAUCGAUCUGAAAUUGUUCUCACCUUUUUUUCCCUCCAAGAAGCUGCUCAUACGUCGAAACUGUUGAUAUCGGACUUUAGCAUAUUGCUGCCUUACAAACUGAACGAUCGAAAAAAUCAAGUUCUUGUAAGAAAAUUUAAACAUGUGAAGAGUAGCUUCGGUUGCGAAGCUAGAAAAUAAAAAAUAGUUAAAAUAUGGCCUUAAAUUUCAUUUUAAAUUUUAAAUAUAAUUCAUUGACCAACAAGAUUCAAAUUUUUGUGCCUUUCAUAUUGUUGCCGAGUGUAUAUACUAUCUUUAAUAAUAUUAUCGUAUUCCGAAGGUAUUUCCAUAACAAUUUUCCACUCGACACUAAUGUUUUUUUAUAGAAAAUUAAUAAGAAAAUCCAAUUUGAUGUCUGGAUGACAGCGUGCCCCAUUAAUUUAACAUUAUAUAUAAUUUAUAAAUUUUGUACAUACAUAUAUAAUAAUAAAAAAUAUAUACUCCAAUUUUCUGGAGAGAUAACUGCCAUUUUAAU